RNAcentral lists this transfer-messenger RNA (350 nucleotides) under human gut metagenome. It matches the Rfam family "transfer-messenger RNA". Rfam says of the family: Bacterial tmRNA, also known as 10Sa RNA or SsrA, is named for its dual tRNA and mRNA-like properties. The record is from RNAcentral.
GGGGGCGUAACGGUUUCGACGGGGGUGCGGAGGCAGGAAUAGCGGGCGGAUGCGCCUGACAUCCAUAAAACGGGCAAACCUUAUAAAUUAAAGAACGACAACGAUACCGUUCUUCUCGCUGCUUAAUUAGCGAGCGUUCCGCCUGAGAGUACCACGGCUCGGGACGGGGCGUCGAUCAGUGGUGAACGUGAGCGCGCAAAGCUUUGAGCGCGCCACGCAUAAUGAAGCUACCAAGUCCCGAAGCGUGACGGUUCGCGCCGGGACGAGGGAAUGUAAAUAACCGUCUGCGCCCGGAGAAGUUGCUGUCAAAACGCUUUCGGACAGGGGUUCAACUCCCCUCGCUUCCACCA